Talpa occidentalis (Iberian mole) is the source of this 1831-nucleotide long non-coding RNA. RefSeq lists it as uncharacterized. The transcript is spliced from 12 exons. The record is from RefSeq and is a predicted model, not a curated record. NCBI's taxonomy places the organism in Eukaryota, Metazoa, Chordata, Mammalia, Eulipotyphla, Talpidae.
CGCUGUCAGAUGGGAAAGCAGCCUUAGUCCUGCACUAAUGACUGAAGAGCCAGCUCUCACUGGAAUUCCAGUUAGAAGACAUCUCUUUUUUUCACCCUCAUUAAACUUAUGGGAAAAAGGGACACCCCAAAAUGGUUUCAACAUCUUCUCAUGGCCUCAGAAUUCCAGAAUUAGCGGAAUCCACUAGAUAAAUCACUCACUCAGGCUCCUACGGAUGAUUACACCACUAGGAAGACCUGAAAUCUCUCCACAAUGGCCACUACCCUAUUGAAAAGUCAAGAUCAUAAAGAUUGUCUUCCAGAUGCUUUAAAGCAAGAACCACCUUUUUCUCCAUCUCCCAGAUAUGGAUACAUUUUUCAGGGACCUGUUAAACCUCUGAGGCCUUCAAUUCUACUAUUUUAGUCCCUAGGAGAAGACACCAAGAUAUGAACUGAGAAACAAGAAACAGAGGCUGACUUAGAAGAAGAAAGAAGACAAAAAAGAAACCAGAGAGAGAAAACAGUACUAGAUCAUCUUGUGAUUAUCGCGUUAUGAAUUCCCAACUUUUUUUCAUGAGAAGAAAGUGUACCCCAAUAGCAGAGAGCACAGCAGAGGCAGGCAGGAGGUCGCUGACAGCGCCGCACAUCAUGCCUGGCCCAGGCCCCCCACGCCUCCGCCGCCGGUAGUGCCCAUUGGGCAUCUGCCAGCUGUGCCGCAGGGGUGGGGCCGAGCCAAUUGUGUUGGAGCGGCCCAGGCUGGUGGCCACCGCUGCUUCGAAGGUGCUGCUGUUCCAUGGAGCAAGCUGUAAGUAGCAAGCUCUAGAAGCUCUAGCUACCUAACAAGUGGCACACUGAAAGAAGGCUCGACUUCCCUGUCCCCGCUCACCUGUCUGUUGGGCGUCUGUGACCUGCCCUCGCUGGGAGACCUUGACUGGCGGCGCUCUGGGGACUCCCAGUCGGCCUGGGUUCCCCGCUCCUCUGAAUUGCAGCGGGAGACAUCAGGAGAAAGAAGAUGCUUACGCUCUUUGGACCGCCCCCGUUCUCUGCCCCCUGAGCGGUGAGUGUCAGACUUGUGGCCUGUGAGACGACAAGAGCAAUCAUCACAACCCAGCCUGCACCCAUUGUGGAGGACAGAGAUGUCUCAGAGCCUGGAACCCUCUCCCUAAGGAAUCCUGGCUUCUCUGGCAUGUCAGUGGGUGGUCUGAAAAGGUGGCAGGAGACAAAGGCUGAAAAUGCCCUUUUGUGAAGAAUGAUUUCCAAUGCUUGCUGUUGGGUCAAAUAGGGAAGCCGCCUCACCUGAAUCUGAGUUCAGGCGAUGAGCUGACAGCCGUAGGGAGGAGUGGUAACUCCGGCGGCGAGACUUGUAAGUGUUUUCGCUGCUUCUCUCCAUGGAGAACUCCUCCAGCCAUGAAGAAUUGGAACGCUUAUCCCGAAUAGUGGAAAACGAUCGUCUCAUGGAGCUGGGGUCUGUCACCACCUAGAAACAUGAGCCCCCAGUGGAAUACAGGCCAGUGUACACCCAGCUUUCAUUUUAUGCUCAGAGGGGAUUUGAUCUCAUGGCUCCUGAAUGAAGAACCAUGAGAUUGCUGUUCCUGGAACUGUCCAUCAUCAGCUGGGUCCAUACAAGCCAACUGGAAUAUUUCCUGGGGGGAGAGUGGACUCAUCGACGUGUAUCCACUACGGCCACUCCUGAAAAGCAAGGUCAAACUCAGAGAUCCAGUGCAAUGGCGAGACUCUAGACUCAGAAGAUAACAGACUUGAAUUCCAGUUCUGCCUCCUGCCAGCCGUAUGGCCUUGGGCAGCUUCCUAAGCCUCCAUUAACAUGCUCCAGCUCCUACAUAAAGUGGUGAUAC